Long non-coding RNA from Passer domesticus (house sparrow), 6013 nucleotides. RefSeq lists it as uncharacterized. Lineage: Eukaryota; Metazoa; Chordata; Aves; Passeriformes; Passeridae. The transcript is spliced from 3 exons. The record is from RefSeq and is a predicted model, not a curated record.
CGAGGGGAGGCCCAGCUCCUCCAGGGCUGGCCGACACUGCACCUGACAUCCGUGUGCAUCAAAUGAGCUGCCCGUAACACUGUGCCCCGCGUCCGACGGGAACGUUCUCAAAGGCAUCUCUGAGUCCCAGCACUUAAAAGUGAGUCUUGAUGCCAGGCAUGGAGCUCAAUUCUUUCAUCAAUAAUAAUUCCAUCCAGGCCAAAGCUCUUGUCUCUUUGCCAAGGUGUCUAAAUUUUCAUCAAUGAGAAGGGCAAUGCUGCUUUGAGAUUAUAAUCACUUUUACAGCAACAGUGUCUGAAAGCACCUGUUUACCUGGUUAACCAAAACACGAAGUUCAGAGGAAGAACAUCUCCACCUGUGCCACUGUGACAGCGAGCCUGUUAGGAGCUCUGAAGUAUGUCAGGGAGCUUGAUGUGCUGCAGUUUGGGGCAAGCCAGUUGAGAAACAGUUCUCCCACUACAUAGGGAUUUCCUCACCUUUGGAAACCCAAGGUUUUAGGGCUUCCCUAAAGGUGGCCUCCUGUUUAGGAGCAUGCUGCCUCAUUUGCCAUCAGCUGUAGCUGGAGGAUUUCCUCACAAAAGAGGAGUGCAGUACACUCCAGUGAUGGUAUCCCUUUGGCAGCAGUCCAACACAACCUUUAGUUGCCAGAAAACCAUGAAUUGAUGGGGUUUGAGAGAAUAUUUUGGGGGAGUACCCCUUUGUACUUACCCUGCUCUUACAUCUCUUUUUGACCAUGGUCAGAGAUGGAAAGUGGGUAGGCAAGACCUUUAAUUUGACACAUACAGCCACACUUAGGAUUUUACAUAUUCCAAAAUGAGAUUUUAUGGACUGCUCAGGCAAGCUGCUGACUUCACAACUUCCUUGAGUCCCAAGGGGCAAGGAUACCUUUUGUCAGCACCCACAGAGCCAUGUGUACAGCACAGUCACAUCUGCAGGGGGGAACCACGAGAUGGGGCAUCAAAAUUCUGUGCUACAGGGUGAGGAUCCUGCUGAGUCUUUUCCAGGAGGCUUUCUUGGCAUGCAGUAACACACCACCUGGUGAUGUCAGGGGACCAGCUGUGUGAAGCACCAGCAGUGUCUGACCCCUGGCAGGCACAGCAUGAGAGAGAGGAUGUGGUGGUUUUCCCAUACCACACAUGAAGUAGUGAAGGAUCAUGAGGCAGAAGCCAAAUGAGUGGAUCUUCUGCUUUCAGUGUCAGCAGUGAGCAGCGGGGGGAAGAACUGGUGCAGCUGGGACAUCUGCCUCCAUGUGCCAAUGAUCUCACUCUUCUGGUCUCUGUAAUCAUUCUCUGCCAGAAGAGGCUUGAUAUCUUACAGCCACCCCCUUCAGUUCCCAAUAAAAAUGAAGCAGCCAGAUCACCUCCUGGAUACUUUUUGUCUGCUUGCAAUUGCAAACAUUAGGUUUGACUUUUGCAAACAUUUGAAAAAAAAGCAGUGGCUCAGAGAUAAAAGACUGAUUUAUGACUUCAGUCACCUGACUAGGGCUGGGCAUAUGGACAUGCAUGUAUCACUUAUUACUGAACUUUGUACUUACCUCUUUAAACACAGAGCUUUGCUCCUGGAAGGAAAGCAGUCAAGGAAGCAAGGGCAAACACACCCUACAAAUCUUAACCAAAUGGUAGGAACUGUGCUAAUUUUGUUCUCUGCGAUGUUAUCAGUGAGUGGUAGCUUAUUACAGUGUCACUCGGGAAAAUAAAGGUCACCUCAGAAAAGAGACUCAUGCCAAUUCCUUGGAUUCAGAAAAUUGGUCACAAAAGCUCCUUUUCUUGAGAAAAUCCCUUUGAAACACACUGACAUAUUUAAAGCAGCGAGGUGACAGCCUGUGAUAGAAGAAAUCCAGGCAGACAGCAAAUCCACAGUAAUUGCAAAGCAUUUGGACGCUGCAGUGUGGUGCAGGGUUCCCAGAGUAGCUUACUGUCUCUCUUCUUUUCAACGAGUUACACACAGACCUGGAGCAGCUGGCUCAAGCUGGCUCUGAGCUGCUGUACACCAGCAACUGCUCUGUUCCGCCUGCUUUGACAGGGUAAAAAACUUCCGCCCCUUUUGGCACGACCUUCCUCCUUUUCUGUACUCUCAAUCCCUCUUGUUCUCCAUCUCCGGGCACAGACAGAGUCCUUUGGCAAUGUCAGCAAAAGGAAAAACACUUUAAGCGUAAUAGGUCAAUUAGAGAUAAGUAUUAUCUUGGAAAACAUCACCCUAAAUGAUUAAAAGAUUAGUGUAAUAACUGGGGAAGGGAUCUGAGAAUAGAAAAAUAAGCUUACAUGUAGACACUACUGUCAACGCCACUUAAAAUAUAUCAAGGUCAGAAAAUGGCACUGCUUGGCUAAGAGCCUUGUAGCACACCUCCCACCACAGGAAAAGUGCAGGAGGAGUUACACACCCCUCUGGUGCCUGGUCACCAGCAAGCCACAACCAACCCAGCGUGGGCAAUAGCUGGGCCAUCCAGCUCCAAGGCCUUUGUGGCAGCAGUGAGAAAUGCAGUGGUGCAGACUUGAGUUAACUGCACCUUGUUUGCAUGUGGGAGCAACAGCAGGAGCCCUGUGGAAGCACACAGAGGUGGAGAAGGAGAGCAAGGACAGCUGACAAGACAGCCUCAAGAAAAAGUUGAAAGAGUGCUUCUGGUGUGUGAAAGUCAUGGAAGCAUUCAGCUUGUGCAGCUGGAGACCCAAAGCAUCCAGGGAGCCAGGACCUCAUAGCCAAGAAAUCAUAUUCCUGAAGCUGGAUACUUCCACUGUGAUACAAGAGAAUAUAUAAAUAAUAACGAAGGAAAUAUGUGUUUUCUAAUAUACCACUCUAGUCGAGAAGGAAAGAAAAUCCAUCUUGCAAAGAGCCCUGCACAGGACCAGCUGAAAGGAUGACACAGCAAAAGGGGAAGGAGCAAUAUGGGUUAGAAGUUUCUCAAAUCUUCUUUGAAACCAGAACAUUCCCACAUGGGGUAGUCCUCUGUGAAACUGCUUUCAAAAAAGGCUGAAGAAGUCUGCUUUCCCCUUCUUUUUUCUACUCACAGAAACUCUUAACUCAAAAUUGAAAAAGAGGAGUAGCCAGUGUAAAAAAUUCUAGCAGUCACACUACUGCUAAAUCAUAGUGCAACACUGUUGCCCAAGGCAUUUCGGCAAUGAGAAAAUGUACUGUGGGAGAACAACCCCUGCUAGGUGAGAAAAAGGAAAAAAUAGGCAAGUGGGAAGAACCCAGACAAAUACAUCUCUGGACUCCAUUUCUGUCACCAUGCACAAUUUGUUUUUCUAUCCAAAGCACCUCCCCAGCCAGCCAAAAACCAACCCAGCUGUCCAACAGUUCCCGUUGAGUCAAACACCACAGCAAGCUUGGAGAUGAAUGCUUCCUCCACAAUCUUCCUGACCCACUUCUAAAAGCUGGACAUUUUCUACCCUCAGGGACCCCAAGAGCAGCAAGGUUCACUGGAGGAGGUUCACCUUCCUGCCAGGGCCGAGCUCCUGGAUCAAUGUGGGGUGAUUUUCACUUCUCUGCUUUCAGAGCAUGGCUCUUCUGCAAGGGAAAAGGAUGUUUUUUACUGUAAAAAAGCAGGUAUGGUACAGCAUUCCCAAGCCAAAUUUAUGUUGACUUCAGGUCUCUUGCUUCCACAUCCCCAGAGGAUGGAGAUUUGCAUCUUACAGAGCGUCCUUGUGCUGAAAGUCUAUGCAGAUGUUGCAGCAUUUCAGAGAUCACUCAAAUUGCUGGAAACACUACAUGGGGAAAAUAUAUCUGCCUCAAACUCAGAAAACAGAGAAAGCAUCUUGGCUUUAAUUCUGAUUCUCUUUUCCUUUAAUGUUGAUUUCCCUUCUUAAUUUCCUUUUUGAUACCUUUGAUUGAUCUCUAAGAAAGAAAUGAUUGUGAAAUUCUAAGUCUAAGCACUGCAAACUGCUGUAAAUAGAAGUAGACCAGACAGAAUGGUGUUAAAUGAACAAAAAUGGCCAGUUUAUUCACUGGAACAGUUAUGAAUUACACUGUAAUUUUAAUUGGAACAUAAAGAUGUAAGAAUCAGUAUAUCAGCUUCUUUUAAUUGUUUUCUUCAGCACUAGAGUGUUUUCCCCAACCAUUUGACUGCAUGAUCAUAUUACACAUGUACAAGCACAGACUUUAUGAAUCCCUCACAAGGUAUUAAUCUAGGAUUGUCUACUAGGACAAGGAAAAGUUAACAUGAGAAUUACUUCAAUUUUAAAAAAUAAAUGAUGCAUUUUUGGAAACAAGAAUUAUUUAACUUUUUUGCUUUUAGCAUAAAGUAGCAACAAGAAGAGUUUCCAAUAUUCAGUCUUUAGCAAAUGAACAUAUAUACUUUUAUAUUCUUCACCACCUAGAAACACCUCAUCAUUUAACCCCAAGAAGGCAGGACAACAUAAUGUCAAUUCAACAUAGGAGUAGCUGAGUUAUUACAGCAGUAAACAUACAGUAUACAAAUUUGUGUUUGUCACAAACUCCACCAAUGCUAAAACUCUUUUGAAAGGAACACAGCAAUCUGUAUGGUUCAUUAAAUACAGAACAUCAUGCAAAUGGAAACAUUCAAUAGAUUACAAAAAUCACAAAACAUCAGUUUUCUUUUUUUUUUAAUUGUUUACAAAGGAUCAAUUUAAUUAACCCUUUAACAGUCAAACCACAGGGCUGAAAAUCAAUAGGGAAAUAAGUAAUAAAAUGGACUUAAUUUAACCACUGGCGUAGCGCACAUAGCCAUAUCUGUGAACAGGAGAAAUAAUAAUAAAAUAAGCUAGAUUACUCUUAUUUCUUGUUCAUAGCUGACAAAAUACCAACUAGAUAGCAAGCCAGUCUACUUGAAACUUUUAUCAAAUGCUUCUCUUUAUUGAUUUUCCAAAAUAUUUUUGAAAUCAAGCAACCACAUAUUCAAUAACAACUCAGAUUACUAACACUGAGAAAAAACAUACACUCUUAUCCACUCUUUUACAGCAAAUCAUGAUAAUCAAAACAAAUAACUUUGUAGAAAGACAUUUUUGAAAUACAAGGCUCUAUCACCCAGAGUCUGCCCACACAUUAACUCCAGUAAUGAAAUAUUGGAUUUUUCCUUUACCUUUUGUCACUUUGUCACUUGGUUGCCAUUACACUUCACAAAGGGGAUUUUCAAUAACUCCACAUGAAACAGAUUAAAAACCAAUAAGGAUUUAAGCUGUGCACCUCCAAAUGAAAGACACAGACUCUCUGUGAUAGUUCUCUUGCCCUCCUAGCAAGAGGAAUAUGCAUAUCACACAAGAAAUAAGAAUUUUCUAGCUUAGUUAUGGAUAUGGAGAAGCUACACAAUGUUAACAAUGUCAUGCACACAUUUUCCAUUGCAUAUUUUGAUGUAUUUGCACCUGAAGGCAAAAGGCAAUUACUUUUUUAUUUCUUUUCCACAGGAUGCUUAAUUACACACAAAAAAACCAACCCUUAAUGGUUAAAAAACGUCUGAAUAGUGUCUACCCCUUUCAGACUCACUGCACACACAGCAAAGGAAAACUGAAGAAGAAGAGAUGACUGGAAUUUUUAAAGAGGUAACUAUAGCAAUUAUCAUACUUCAAAGGUAAAACAUCAGUCCCUGCCAUUCUCAAAUGAAGAUUUCCAAGGAACAAAAGAAAGAAAUUUACUGUAACUUCAGUGGAUAUGCAUCUUCUGCCAAAGAAAGGAACAGACCUCAGAAAGGCUGAUGUAAUGUAAUGUAACCUUAUGAUGAUGAUGAUCAGUCCAGCUAUAAGUGGAGCUGACAGCACAGCUACUGACUUUGGCAAUGCAGGAUGAAUGAUCAGGUUGGUACCAAAAUCAGGGCCCGCACUCCGGGUGCCGUUCCCAGUGGGAUAAGGAUUGGGCCAGAUUUUACUAACAUCUUACUUAAGUAAAUCCAACAUAAUUAUGGUGAGCAGCCUUCAUAGGUGAGAUCAUAUUUCAUAAGUGAGGUUAUAUUUCAUAACAUAAUCUCCUUUAUGUACACACAUUAAUAUGGUAAAUUACUUAAACAACUUCAUCAUUGCUUUUAAAAUAAAAAACAAACUGAAAAUUCACUUGGCAUUAAAACUUG